Molecule: non-coding RNA, 23 nt
Filed under: Cricetulus griseus (Chinese hamster)
Lineage: Eukaryota; Metazoa; Chordata; Mammalia; Rodentia; Cricetidae
Source: RNAcentral
UUAGUACCGUACCUGUGCAGCUG